UGAAAUACUCAACGAGUCUUAAGGUGU
This 27-nucleotide non-coding RNA is filed under the name Homo sapiens (human). The record is from RNAcentral. Lineage: Eukaryota; Metazoa; Chordata; Mammalia; Primates; Hominidae.